Molecule: ribosomal RNA, 382 nt
Filed under: Syntemna daisetsusana
Lineage: Eukaryota; Metazoa; Arthropoda; Insecta; Diptera; Mycetophilidae
Description: partial 16S ribosomal RNA
Source: RNAcentral
UCGAAGGUAGCAUAAUCAGUAGUUUUUUAAUUGAAAACUUGUAUGAAUGGUUUAACGAAAUAUUUGCUGUUUCAUAAAAAUUUAUAUAGAAAUUAAUUUUUUAGUAAAAAAGCUAAAAUAAUAUUAAAAGACGAGAAGACCCUAUAGAGUUUUAUAUAAUUAUUAUUAUAAUUCAUUUAUAAUAUUUAAAAUUUUAGUAAAAAUUAUAUUUUGUUGGGGUGACAGUAAAAUUUUGUAAUCUUUUAUUUAUUUUUAACAAUGAUUUUUGAUUAGUUGAUCCAAUUUUAUUGAUUAAAAGAUUAAAUUACCUUAGGGAUAACAGCGUAAUUUUUUUGGAGAGUUCAAAUCGAUAAAAAUUUUUGCGACCUCGAUGUUGGAUUAA